GACGAACGCUUGCGGCGUGCUUAACACAUGCAAGUCGAACGGAAAGGCCCUGCUUUUGUGGGGUGCUCGAGUGGCGAACGGGUGAGUAACACGUGAGUAACCUGCCCUUGACUUUGGAAUAACUUCAGGAAACUGGGGCUAAUACCGGAUAGGAGCUCCUGCUGCAUGGUGGGGGUUGGAAAGUUUCGGCGGUUGGGGAUGGACUCGCGGCUUAUCAGCUUGUUGGUGGGGUAGUGGCUUACCAAGGCUUUGACGGGUAGCCGGCCUGAGAGGGUGACCGGCCACAUUGGGACUGAGAUACGGCCCAGACUCCUACGGGAGGCAGCAGUGGGGAAUAUUGCACAAUGGGCGGAAGCCUGAUGCAGCAACGCCGCGUGCGGGAUGACGGCCUUCGGGUUGUAAACCGCUUUCGCCUGUGACGAAGCGUGAGUGACGGUAAUGGGUAAAGAAGCACCGGCUAACUACGUGCCAGCAGCCGCGGUGAUACGUAGGGUGCGAGCGUUGUCCGGAUUUAUUGGGCGUAAAGGGCUCGUAGGUGGUUGAUCGCGUCGGAAGUGUAAUCUUGGGGCUUAACCCUGAGCGUGCUUUCGAUACGGGUUGACUUGAGGAAGGUAGGGGAGAAUGGAAUUCCUGGUGGAGCGGUGGAAUGCGCAGAUAUCAGGAGGAACACCAGUGGCGAAGGCGGUUCUCUGGGCCUUUCCUGACGCUGAGGAGCGAAAGCGUGGGGAGCGAACAGGCUUAGAUACCCUGGUAGUCCACGCUGUAAACGGUGGGUACUAGGUGUGGGGUCCAUUCCACGGGUUCCGUGCCGUAGCUAACGCUUUAAGUACCCCGCCUGGGGAGUGUGGCCGCAAGGCUAAAAUUCAAAGGAAUUGACGGGGCCCCGCACAAGCGGCGGAGCAUGCGGAUUAAUUCGAUGCAACGCGUAGAACCUUACCUGGGUUUGACAUGGAUCGGGAGUGCUCAGAGAUGGGUGUGCCUCUUUUGGGGUCGGUUCACAGGUGGUGCAUGGCUGUCGUCAGCUCGUGUCGUGAGAUGUUGGGUUAAGUCCCGCAACGAGCGCAACCCUUGUUCACUGUUGCCAGCACGUUAUGGUGGGGACUCAGUGGAGACCGCCGGGGUCAACUCGGAGGAAGGUGGGGAUGACGUCAAGUCAUCAUGCCCCCUAUGUCCAGGGCUUCACGCAUGCUACAAUGGCUGGUACAGAGAGUGGCGAGCCUGUGAGGGUGAGCGAAUCUCGGAAAGCCGGUCUCAGUUCGGAUUGGGGUCUGCAACUCGACCUCAUGAAGUCGGAGUCGCUAGUAAUCGCAGAUCAGCAACGCUGCGGUGAAUACGUUCCCGGGGCU
Molecule: ribosomal RNA, 1346 nt
Filed under: uncultured bacterium
Lineage: Bacteria
Description: partial 16S ribosomal RNA
Rfam family: Bacterial small subunit ribosomal RNA
Source: RNAcentral